Molecule: RNA transcript, 5180 nt
Organism: Arachis duranensis
Lineage: Eukaryota; Viridiplantae; Streptophyta; Magnoliopsida; Fabales; Fabaceae
Gene name: helicase sen1
Exons: 9
Source: RefSeq, a predicted model, not a curated record
CCCACCCACGCCCCUUUCUCUCUCACUGCGACAAAUCCAUCCCUAACGAACCCAGUCACCAUCCCAUCGCGGAACUCUUCUCCUCCGGCGGAGACAGACCGCGGGUGCCAUCGUCGCCGUGGAAGGUCUGCUCGCUUCUCCUCGAUCCUCUCCUCGACGUCGCACGAAGGCCUGCUCGGAGCUGUUGUGUCGCCGCCGCGCAGGGCUGCUUCGUCGUCGCCUGUGCUCGCCUCGCCGUUCUCCACCGCGAGUGACUUCUGCUUGUUUCUUCGAGUGACGUCGCCGUUCUGCUCGCCUCUCUGCUAAGAUCCAUUUAUUUCCUCAUUGUGGGCAUGUCAUGGACAUUGUCUGUUAAAAAGAAUAGAAGUAUAGUGCCCGUUCAACUUGAAUAUAAUCCGAAUUUAGUUUGUAUCCAUAUGCAUAGGAGAUGGGUUCUCGAGGAAGGCCAUUAUUUGAUCUCAAUGAGCCACCUGCAGAAGAUAAUGAUGAGAGCGAUGGUAUUAUUUGUCUCCAGCCCCAAAUGACUCAGCCAUCAACAAAUCCUAACUCUUCUGAUUUAUUUGCAGCAUCAUCUGCUGCCCAAGGAAUAAUAAAUAAUCAUGCUUUUUCACACGCGUCAUCUGUCUCUGGAUUUCAACCUUUUGUUCGGCCUAAAUCCUCCUCUUGUAUCCCUGAUGUAGAUGCUGUAUCGAAGGGAGCAGAAGAACAAGAUACAAAUGCUAGUUCUAAGUCUGGCAAAGAGGACGAUUUGAAAGUUAUGGAUUCACGGAUACUAAGUUCAACAACUGCUCAAUCCACAGAGAGGGAAGAAGGGGAAUGGUCUGAUGACGAGGUCUCUGCCGAUGUAAAUGGAUCUCAUAAUUUGCUCCAACAAAGUCAAGUGUCGCAAGAGCAAACAACAUCUGGGAUGGUGGAUGGGGGUGGAGUGGCUUCUGAAAGUAAGUCUGGCAAUAUUACUUCUGAAAGCAAGUCUGGUAAUACUAAAGGUCCUGAUAGUACAAUUGAUGAAAAGAGUAGCCGUGCCUCUGUAGGUCUAGAGUCAAAUUCUACUGAACAGAAGAGCAACAUUGUCCCAAAUUCAGAUGGCAGUAUAAAAAGUGAAGCUUCUAAUGAUGCUCAAGAGGAGCCAAGUUUAAUUCCUAAGCAAAAAGAAGUGAAAGGUAUUGAAGCUAGUCAUGCUCUUAGGUGUGCAAAUAAUCCUGGGAAAAGAAAGAUUGACCAGCGCAAAGAGGAAAUGUUGGGAAAGAAACGAAAUAGACAGACUAUGUUUCUUAACUUGGAAGAUGUCAAGCAGGCAGGUCCUAUGAAAUCUUCAACACCAAGAAGGCAGAAUUUUUCAUCCCCUAUUAUAACUCGUACCGUAAAGGAGGUCCGUAAUGUUGCUGCACAAGUUGAGCGUGUUGGAGCAGCUAAGGAUCAGAAACAGGUUGAGACAUCUUUUGCUGAAGGUGGCAUCCAUGCUGACUUACAUGAACCUAAAUCUGAUUCUAAUGGUGAUAAUUCUGGACCACUUGGUAGGUCUAGGAGGCUAAACAGUGAGACGGAACCUCCGGCAGAGGUUAAUUUACCACCCAUUCCAAGACAGGGUUCAUGGAAACAACCAACAGAUUCAAGACAGCAGAAGAAUGUACUUGGUUCAAGUAGGAAGUUGGGGCAGACUGGUCAAAGCUCCAACUCCAAUGAUGUCAAGGUGGGAAACAAAAAACAUGCUCCUAUGAAGAAGCAGACUCCUGUCAGCAUCCAGCCCCAAGACACAUCUGUUGAACGCCUUAUACGGGAGGUUACCAGUGAAAAAUUUUGGCACCACCCAGAGGAAACUGAGCUACAAUGUGUCCCUGGACGGUUUGAGUCGGUCGAAGAGUAUGUCAGAGUAUUUGAACCUUUACUCUUUGAGGAAUGUCGGGCUCAAUUAUACAGUACAUGGGAAGAAUCAAUGGAGACAGUAUCAAGGGAUACUCAUAUUAUGGUGAGAGUAAAAGCAAAUGAAUCAAGAGAAAGAGGAUGGUAUGAUGUGAAACUACUUCCUCCAUUACAUGACUUCAAAUGGCCAUUUAAGGAGGGAGAUGUUGCAGUCCUAUCAUCUCCUAGGCCUGGAUCAGUCAGGUCCAAGCAGAGCAGUGCAUCUUUAGCUCAGGAUGAUGGGGAAGCGGAAAUCACUGGACGAGUGGUUGGAACAGUUAGGCGACACAAACCUAUUGAUACCCGUGAUCCAACUGGUGCAAUUCUCCAUUAUUAUGUUGGGGACUCUUAUGAUCCUAUCAGGGUUGAUGAUGAUCAUAUCAUAAGAAAACUUCAAAUUGGAAGCAUUUGGUACCUCACAAUACUUGGAUCUCUUGCUACCACACAGAGGGAGUAUGUUGCUCUACAUGCAUUUCGUCGCUUAAAUUCACAGAUGCAAACUGCUAUCCUUCAGCCUAGUCCUGAACACUUCCCUAAAUAUGAGCAGCAGACCCCUGCCAUGCCUGAAUGCUUUACACCAAACUUUGUUGAUCAUCUUCGUAGGACCUUUAAUGAACCCCAGUUGGCAGCAAUCCAAUGGGCUGCCACGCAUACAGCUGCUGGUACAAGUAGUGGAACAACAAAAAGGCAAGAACCGUGGCCCUUUACCCUUGUUCAGGGACCUCCAGGAACAGGAAAGACGCAUACUGUAUGGGGAAUGUUGAAUGUCAUUCACCUUGUGCAGUAUCAGCAUUACUACACCUCCUUGCUUAAGCAUGUAGCCCCGGAAAGCUACAAGCAAGCUAAUGAGAUCAGUUCAGAUAAUGCACCCAUGGGAUCUAUUGAUGAAGUUCUUCAAAACAUGAACCAGAAUCUCUUGCGUACUUUGCCUAAGUUGGUCCCCAAACCUAGAAUGUUGGUUUGUGCUCCAUCUAAUGCUGCCACUGAUGAGCUUCUUGCUCGUGUCCUUGAUCGUGGAUUUAUUGAUGGUGAGAUGAAAGUAUAUCGACCCGAUGUGGCUCGAGUUGGGGUUGAUUCUCAGACACGUGCUGCCCAAGCAGUUUCUGUUGAGCGUAGAACUGAACAGCUUUUGGGCAAGAGUCAGGAGGAAGUUCUUGGAUGGAUGCAUCAGUUAAAGAAUCGCGAGGCUCAGUUGACUCAGCAGUUACAUUGUCUUCAUAGAGAACUUAAUGCUACUGCCGCUGCAGUUCGUUCCCAAGGAUCUGUUGGUGUUGACCCUGAUGUUCUCAUGGCCAGGGAUCAGAGUCGGGAUGCUCUACUGCAAAAUCUUGCUGCUGUAGUUGAAGGAAGGGACAAGGUUUUGGUUGAGAUGUCUCGCCUUGCGCUUUUGGAAAGUAGGUUCCGACCUGGUAGUGGUUUCAAUUGGGAAGAGGCCCGUGCCAGUUUGGAGGCCAGUUUUGCCAAUGAAGCAGAGAUAGUUUUCACUACAGUUUCCAGCAGUGGUCGCAAGUUGUUCUCUCGUCUUUCCCAUGGCUUUGAUAUGGUGGUCAUUGACGAGGCAGCUCAAGCCAGUGAGGUGGGAGUUCUGCCUCCCCUCUCUCUUGGUGCAGCUCGAUGUGUUCUGGUCGGAGAUCCUCAGCAGCUUCCUGCUACAGUUAUUAGCAAGGCUGCUGGAACAUUGAUGUACAGUAGGAGUCUUUUUGAGAGAUUCCAACAAGCAGGUUGCCCGACAAUGUUGUUGUCUGUGCAGUAUAGAAUGCAUCCCCAAAUUCGAGAUUUCCCUUCUAGGUACUUCUAUCAGGGGCGACUUACUGACAGUGAAAGCGUGGUUAAAUUGCCUGAUGAGGUAUACCACAAGGACCCUUUACUUAGACCUUAUAUAUUCUAUGAUAUCAGACAUGGACGGGAGUCUCACAGGGGUGGAUCAGUCUCUUAUCAAAACAUACAUGAAGCACAAUUUUGUCUCCGAUUGUAUGAGCAUCUUCAGAAAACUUUGAAAUCUUUGGGUAUGGGAAAGAUUAGUGUUGGCAUAAUUACUCCUUACAAGCUGCAGCUGAAAUGCCUCCAGCGUGAAUUUGAGGAAGUCUUAAAUUCGGAAGAAGGGAAGGACCUAUAUAUUAAUACUGUAGAUGCUUUCCAAGGUCAAGAACGAGAUGUCAUUAUAAUGUCGUGUGUGCGUGCUUCUAGUCAUGGUGUUGGCUUUGUUGCAGAUAUUAGACGGAUGAAUGUUGCACUUACACGUGCAAGGAGGGCCCUUUGGGUCAUGGGAAAUGCAAAUGCUCUGGUACAAUCUGAUGAUUGGGCUGCGUUGAUUAUUGAUGCAAAAUCCCGAAAUUGCUAUAUGGAGAUGGACUCCCUUCCGAAGGACUUUAUGGUAUCGAAGGGACCUACUUACACGCCACUGCCUGGUAAGGCUUCCUCAAAUAUGAGGGGCAUGAGAUCAGGUGGACAAAGGUUUAGAGGAAUGGAGGCGCAUGGGGAUCCCAGGAUGGGCGCACCAUGUGAAGAUGAUGAAAAGAUGGGUGCACCAGCAAGCUUCAGAAAUGGGAAUCAUCGAUCUUCAAGAUAUCCAAUGGAGAAUUCUUUAGACGAUUUUGACCAUAUGGGCGAUAAAUCCAGAGAUUCCUGGCAGUAUGGUGCACAGAAGAAGCAGAACUCUGCUGGAAAUGGGGGAAAGAGAGAUGUGUAACCAUGGCUUAUCUGCACAUUAUUGUCCAUCUUGGGGGGGAUUUAUGGCGCUAUCUGACUUCCUAAUUCUGUGAUCUCUCACCAUGGAAAGCUCGUAGACUGGAUCGGCCGGAGCUGUAUGAGCCCGAGACAAAGAUAUGCACAGCCUUGGAGGACAGACCAGCAUCCAGUGCGGAUAAGGCCUACAUUGUUACGUCAGACACGCGUUGGUUCAUGCAAUUUUGUGCAGCAGAUUGAUGUGCUGCGCGGAAGACUGCAGACUUUAGUCCGCCAACAAUGUAUGAAAGUGAACGGGGACCAAGCUGGUUGGAGGCGGAGUACUCAUUUUUGUGUCAGUGCCAAAUAUUAAAGGAAAACUGCUACAGGGAAUUUUAGGGAUCUAAGGUAGUAGUUUGCUGUCAACUGACUCUGUACAUAACAUGGAUUCACAACAUUGUUUUUAGCAAAUUGUUUUGUGUUUCAUUUAUGUUAAACGGAAGUGUUUCACUUCCAAAGGAGGAAGAAAAGGUUACCCUUCUUUUCUUGUUACUUCAAUACCCAAAAGGUGUGCUUGUAUGACAUUUUCAUUAUUUAAUUAAUUUUUUUAAACGGUC